Boleophthalmus pectinirostris (great blue-spotted mudskipper) is the source of this 3598-nucleotide long non-coding RNA. RefSeq lists it as uncharacterized. NCBI's taxonomy places the organism in Eukaryota, Metazoa, Chordata, Actinopteri, Gobiiformes, Gobiidae. The transcript has 3 exons. The record is from RefSeq and is a predicted model, not a curated record.
GUUCGAUAAAUACAAAGACACAAACCAUUAUGCAAUUUUUGGCACCGUUCAGCCCUAUCCUUUCUAUUUAUUAAUUUAGUUUAGUUAAACCUACUAUUAACUAGAAUGAUUUUUUUUUUUGUCAAUAGAGACCAAUAUGUUUGUAGUACCUUACUCUUAGCACGUCGGUUGGAGUCUGUGGUCUCUUUGACUUCCUUUCACGGUCCAAGGGCAUGCAUUUGUAAACCUUGCCCUGAUUAAAUGUGAUUUAAUGAAUAAUUUAACGCCAUUGUCAGAGAGUGUUCCUCAUGGAGCCCAUUGCUCUUGGGGUUAUUGCUUUAUAUUUAACAAGCCCCCUCUUGCUUGAAACAGCAUUUUACUCACAAAUUGCUGAGUGCUUUAACCUCCAUGUUCAGUAAGUUGGUUUUCUUAUAGCUUUGCACAAAAGCUUUACAUGUCUUACUCAUCUUUUUGCCAACCACAGACGUAGGCAAGCUUCUGACACCCGCCUAAUCGCAUUUUCUUUGUAGAUGCAUUCGUGACCAGUGACCGCUCACAUUUCCUCUACAGUACGCAGCAUAUUUAGGGUCCCAUAUGCCCCCCUAUUGUUCACGUACACUGUAAAGAAGAAAAGAAAUAAGUGGGUCAUUGGCUGAAAGAGGGAUUUCCUCUGUAGGCCCUGCACUGUCCCGCUGAUAGAGCAGGACUGUCCCGGGCCAGGGAGGACACCGGUCGCUGGUUCCCACACUCCCGGCUCUUCACUUUGAGUCACUUUGUCUUCACAAGUGGAUAUCCUGACUCAAGUAGAGGAAUUUCUUAUUGGUAUUGUUUAUCUGCUUGAAUUCAGACUUUAUCAGAUUAAACAAAGAACAAAUAUAUUAGGAGAUGUGAAAUAUAACAAAUUAUCUUUAUUUCCUUGGAACCUUUAAAUUUGACCACAAAUUAUAUAGCUUGAGUUCACACUUAAUUUCACUACCUAAAGUUGUAUGGUAUUUCAAGACGCACUAAUGCCCCAAUAAUAGAGCAUUAUCUUUUAACAGAUGGAUUAGCUUCAAUAUAAUGUCUUCUAAUCCAGGGGUCCCCAACCUUUUUUGCGCCACGGACCGGUUUUAUGUCGGAGAAUAUUUCGCAAACAGGAGGGGGUUGGGGUAGGGCAGUUUAUGGGAGCAGGCACUGUGCUCGGCCUGGUUAAAUCCCGACUAAAUCCUGUUUUAGUCCUGCUUUGGACCCUGUUUUUAGACCCAGAUUUAGACCUGGUUUAUACCUGAUUUAGAUCUGGUUUAGGCCUGGUUUAGAUCUGGUUUAGUCCUGGUUUAGAGGCGCAACCCGUGCGACAAACGGGAGGGGGGCACGUUCUGCGCGACGUAUGGGGCGACCCAUCACCCUGGGGUUGGGGACCCUUGUUCUAAUCUACUUGCUGCUACUUGAUGCUUAACUUUUCUCUCUUUCUGGAUUCAAGGCCCAAUCAUGAAAAAUCUUAAUCCUGCCAUUUCAUGCAAGACGUGGUCACUAAUAUAGUAUUCUUAGAGAUUUUUGUUUUACCACAACUAAAAAGAUUUUUUUUAAGACUUUGAAGUUGAAUUUGAUGUUUACGAUAUCUAAGCUAUAACUGUAAAAAGAUUCAACCUUGAUCCACAUGCUAACACAAACAUGAUUUAAUGUAGUAGGCCCUUUGUCUAAGAAAGCAUUUAAAUAUUGGCCUAGUGUUGUUGUCACAAUAUUCAAAACAGUGGUUAGCCUAGACAUUUCUUACCAAAGUCCCUCCCGACAACAGUAACUAACAACACAGGAGUAUUAAGUUUGUAGACGUGGGCUUAGAGAUUUGUCAGUUUACAGUAAGUGCUAAGCUCAUGUCACUUUUAUCAGAUAUGCUCCUGUCUCUUGUCAGGCUUGAUCUAGUGUGAGCUUGGUUUAUUUGAGCCUGACUUGCACAUGUCUGAGAGGUCUUGUGUCAGAAAAAUAAACAGCGGUGCAUGCCUGACGUGACGGAGAUAACGCUGUCUUCAACACAACAUCCCAUCUGCAGCAUGCAAAUGUUUUCCCAGGUCAACCAGUGAAAAUAACACAGAAUAAGACUGGUACUAUUUUAGUCAUGGAAAAAGGGGUCUCUUUGCCAGUGUUAAAAUGCUUCGUUUAUUAUAGCUCAAAACUCUACAACAAUGCAAUAUUGAUAACUUCUUUUGCUCUGGCUUCUGUGGCAAGACUUUCAGAUGUUACUAUUUUAGCAAUGGAAGAAUGGGUUUCUUUGCCAGAGUCUUGAAGUGCUUAAGUUUAUUGUGGCAUAUAACUGCAACAAUCAUAUUUUGGUCACUUUUUAAUGGAUUUCAGGAUUAACUUUCUGAACAUAAAUAGGAUGGACUUUUAAUAUAUGCCAUUUACAAAAACAUCCUCUGUCUCUUCUCCAAACCACAUGCCUUUAUUGAAGAUUGUGGAGUUGUACAGCCCAACUUUUUUUGCUCACUUGCUUCUGUGGCAGGACUUAAAUUUGACCGUUACUGUUUUUGCAUGCCAGUGAUUUUGAAAAAGACCAAUGUGGCCAGUCACGAUGUUGUCAAUACUUCUUUCUGAAUGAGUAAUAGCUGUAUUUUUGAAAUGAUUACUGGUAGCUCUAUAACCUCAUUUGUAUUUAGUAACUGACAGUUCUUGUAUCAGAUUUUUUUCAUGGCAGAAGUAAUUAUUUUUGCUCUGUGCUUGUCAUUUGCACAGUACUGAACUAUUUCAAGAAAAAUCUUUCUGUCAUACACUAUGAUUAGAUGUGCAAUGUGGUUCUAUUCAAAGUUCACAUUUUAAGUUCACAUUUUAAAGACGCCAAGGAACUUUAAUAUUUGAGAGAAGAGUGAAAUAUGAACCACGAACUAAUACAAUAAUCCCAUGUUUGUUGAAACCUAAACUACAGGUGUAGCAUGUUUUUAUAUAAAGACAGGAUAUUUUGUUAUUUGCAGAGUAAAUUGUCUAAUUGCUACUAUUCAAAUUACAGUUUUGAUUCAGUUGUGGUAAAUCUUGAAACCUUUGUUCAUUAUUCUCACCUUUACUACAUUAGUUAUGACUUGAUUGUUACUAUACACAAUAGACUGAAAAUGUCCCUACAUCCCCCUUUCUAUAAACACUAAUUCCCGAGAACUGUCAAAUUCCUGGUGACUUCCCUGUAGAUCAUAGCACUGUUGUAAAUAGUCCUCACUCACUCUCUUUUGUGUUUAUAGCCCCUCCCCCUCCUCUUUUUUUUUUUUUUUGGGGCCAAACUGAAAACUUCCUGGCUCUGACCUCUCCGUGACUCGAUAAUAACUGGAUCCUUCUUCAGUGCAAAUGGCCUUAGAAGCCACGUUGGAGGAAUGCAGUCAAACACACAACACAGCAGAGGGGUCAGGAAUGAGGAAGAACUGCCGGCCAUGAAAGCCAGCUCAGAUAAGGAUAAAGGUCAAGGGUUAAGACGACUAGAGCAAGUGGAAAAUCACUUCGUGUGUCCAUGUGUGAAGCAAAACCAAAGAAGCAAGACACUAAGCGAUGGUUGCGUGUUACCCGGGAAACGGCACAGGGUAUGUUCGUCAUGUGGACAAUCCGAACGGUGACGGCCGCUGCGUAACCUGCAUAUACUACCUAAACAAAGACUGGGACAUCAAGG